CCUACGGGUGGCAGCAGUGAGGAAUAUUGGUCAAUGGGCGAGAGCCUGAACCAGCCAAGUCGCGUGAGGGAGUACUGCCCUAUGGGUUGUAAACCUCUUUUGUCGGGGAGCAAAAGCCGGACGUGUCCGGCUGUGAGAGUACCCGAAGAAAAAGCAUCGGCUAACUCCGUGCCAGCAGCCGCGGUAAUACGGAGGAUGCGAGCGUUAUCCGGAUUUAUUGGGUUUAAAGGGUGCGCAGGCGGAUUUUUACGUCAGCGGUAAAAUCGUGGGGCUCAACCCCAUCCAGCCGUUGAAACUGGGGAUCUAGAGUGUGCGAGAGGUAUGCGGAAUGCGUGGUGUAGCGGUGAAAUGCAUAGAUAUCACGCAGAACCCCGAUUGCGAAGGCAGCAUACCGGUGCACAACUGACGCUCAGGCACGAAAGCGUGGGUAUCGAACAGGAUUAGAUACCCCAGUAGUC
RNAcentral lists this ribosomal RNA (458 nucleotides) under uncultured bacterium. Its description in RNAcentral is "partial 16S ribosomal RNA". It matches the Rfam family "Bacterial small subunit ribosomal RNA", at positions 338 to 795 of the family's 1533-position model. The record is from RNAcentral.